GAUGAACGCUGGCGGCGUGCCUAACACAUGCAAGUCGAGCGAACAGACGAGGAGUUGGCGCCCCUGACGUUAGCGGCGGACGGGUGAGUAACACGUGGAUAACCUACCUAUAAGACUGGGAUAAUUUCGGGAAAUCGGAGCUACUACCGGAUAAUAUAUUGAACCGCAUGGUGCAAUAGUGAAAGACGGUUUUGCUGUCACUUAUAGACGGAUCCGCGCCGCAUUAGCUAGUUGGUAAGGUAACGGCUUACCAAGGCGACGAUGCGUAGCCGACCUGAGAGGAUGAUCAGCCACACUGGAACUGAGACACGGUCCAGACUCCUACGGGAGGCAGCAGUGGGGAAUCUUCCGCAAUGGGCGAAAGCUUGAUGGAGCAAAGCCGCGUGAGUGAUGAAGGUCUUCGGCUCGUAAAGCUCUGUUGUUAGGAAAGAACAAAAGUGUAUGUAACUAUGCACGUCUUGACGGUACCCAAACAAUAAGCCACGGCUAACUACGUG
Molecule: ribosomal RNA, 497 nt
Filed under: uncultured bacterium
Lineage: Bacteria
Description: partial 16S ribosomal RNA
Rfam family: Bacterial small subunit ribosomal RNA
Source: RNAcentral